UUUCAGAGGGUCCUCCGCGGAAGGGCAGCUGAAUGGACUCCAAAGCAGCCUUAACCCUGCAGCCUUUGUGCCCAUCACCAGCUCUACAGAGGGCCAAGAUGGGUCGCCGAGCUCAACAGGAGUCAGUGCAGGCCGAGAAUCACCUCAAUGGCAAGAAUUCCUCUUUGACUCUGACUGGAGAGACUUCCUCUCCUAAAUUACCUCGCUGCCGACAGGGAGGCUGGGCAGGUGAUUCCGUGAAGGCUUCGAAGUGAGUACCAGCAGCUCAUAAGAGUAGGGGUGGGGGUGCACACGAUUGGGGGGACUUUGCUCCUGUGUUGUUUUAUUUUUUACAAUAGCUUUAUUUAGAAAAAAUUUACAUACCAUACAAUUCACCCACUUAAAAUGUACAAUUUAAUCAUUCUUAAUAUAUUCACAGAGUUGUGCAACUAUUAACACAAUCAAUUUUACAACAUUUUUAUCACCUCCCCACCAAAAGAAACCCUGU
This 487-nucleotide small RNA is filed under the name Pongo abelii (Sumatran orangutan). RNAcentral describes it as "retained intron". Lineage: Eukaryota; Metazoa; Chordata; Mammalia; Primates; Hominidae. The record is from RNAcentral.